RNAcentral lists this unclassified non-coding RNA (144 nucleotides) under uncultured Teratosphaeriaceae. RNAcentral's name for it is "sequence contains ITS2". Lineage: Eukaryota; Fungi; Ascomycota; Dothideomycetes; Mycosphaerellales; Teratosphaeriaceae. The record is from RNAcentral.
CACCACUCAAGCCUCGCUUGGUAUUGGGCGACGAGAGUUCCUCGCGCCCCCAUUUCACCGGCUGGACGGAUCGAACCUCAGCGUUGUGGUCAUUCAAAUCGCUGUCGGGUCGAGACGGACGCGCCGUUAAACCUCUUUAUCACA